GAGGGUUGAUGUCUGUGCUUUAGAAUUCUUCAUCUCCCAUCUGUCAGCGGCCAUGGUCAUUGUGCGGCAGUGAAGCUGCUGCUCAUCUUCGGACCUAGACAAGCAGAGGAGGCGUGUGUAUCCUGGAAAGCCUCCGUCUGGGAGCACCCAUGCCGGCGAGGCAGGUCAGGGAGACAGUGUUAAGGUACAUGAGCAGGGUGGCAAGGCCCCGCGCUUCUCUAGAUCUUUCCUGUCCUUUUUCUUCCUCUUCCUCCAAGUGCCCCAUCUGUGCCCCAGCCUGGGGCCGCCACGCAGGACAUUAACACGUGGAUGGAACACUGGCUCUUUGCAGGUAGUAAUACAGAAGCCCUUCCUCUUGCCAACCAGUGCAGACAAAGCAAUCUUGAAACCACAGACCGACAGAGAGGGUUACAAGCACGUCGGUUCAGCAGUGCCAGAGGAACUUGAGGGUUUGGGCUUCGCGUGACAGCAGGGGACAGGGAUGCUUGCAAGCACACAGGUUGUCCCAGGCCCGUGGCUGCGCCAGGACUGACCUUGGGUUCCAUCCCUGGUACCAAGAAAAGAAAAAACACGAGGUUGUCCAUGGAAUGAUGAAAGCCCAGAUGCCCACACAAGGCUGAAUCUCUAAACUGCCCUGUGUGUUGACCACCCAGGAGCCCAGCGAUGGAUCUGAGGGGGGGUGGAACCCAAGCUUCUUCCAAGCCCAGCAGAAUGCUGGUCCUAUUCCUUGGGGACUUCAUGAUUCAUUUGCAUAUUCUGGGAAAAUAAAAGGACUUAUUUUUAUU
RNAcentral lists this long non-coding RNA (785 nucleotides) under Ictidomys tridecemlineatus (thirteen-lined ground squirrel). Its description in RNAcentral is "lncRNA (ENSSTOG00000034542.1)". Lineage: Eukaryota; Metazoa; Chordata; Mammalia; Rodentia; Sciuridae. The record is from RNAcentral.